This 1099-nucleotide long non-coding RNA is filed under the name Sorghum bicolor (sorghum). RNAcentral's name for it is "long non-coding RNA (SBIC_LNC014574)". Lineage: Eukaryota; Viridiplantae; Streptophyta; Magnoliopsida; Poales; Poaceae. The record is from RNAcentral.
CAGGCUGCCGUAUAGAGACGGUGGUUGGCUCCUUGUGCGUGUCGUCAGGUUGCACUAGUUAUCCUCGCUGCUUGCAGCAAGUUAUCGGCUGAUCUUCAGCUAGUUAUCCAUCCUACGUCGUGAAGAUCGGGACAACGACCUCAUCAUCUGGUAUCAAAGCUCAAGUUUCCACGGUAGGAUUUUUACCCUUAGCUACAUAUAUAUAUCUUGUUCGUCCUAUCCACCAAAAAGCCAUAAAAAAAUUGCAUUAGCCCUUUGUUUCAAUCUGUUUUUCUUGUGAGUUUGGUUAAGUUGUAGUCCAUUAGAGUUUUGUUUAGUUGCUGAUCAUCAUAUCCUUUGUGUGUCCUUUGUGCCUCUUUUAUAUAUACAAAUCCCUAAAGAAAAUCUGAAACCGGUAUCAUCCUUCGCGUAAACUUUGAGCCUAUCAAGUUAGAACGCUGACGGUUGUGUCUUGUUUCAAAAAAAAAGUGUGUGUAAGUGUUAUAUCUACUCUUGUUCUUAGUUAUAAAAAAACAAAGUAUCAAAAAAAAGGAAAGUGAAAAAAAAGAAGAGUUGAGAAAGAAAAGUUGUGAAGAAAGAGUAGAAAGUUCACUCUGUUUAUGUGCUCAAGUUCUGAAUUUUAUAUCAAGUCGCACAAUCAGUCAUUAUCCAUCUUUGGUGCAAAAUUUUGCUUGGGUUUGAUUGCAACACUUGCAUCCUAGGCAUACUCCUUGUUUGCAUCAAAUCUGAAUUAUCUUUGCGCGUGUUUGAUCUAUUUACAUCACUCAUAUCUUGUGGUCAGCACUAGGCAUUGAACUUCUAGUUUGGAUUGUGGUUUAACUUUACAAUAUCAAGAAUUCAGACUGCAUUCCUUGUGAAAUAUAUCCCCAUCAAGCUCCACAAAUAACCCACCGUCAUAGGAAAAUACUGAUCUUGGAUUCUCCCAACCAUCAUUCUCGGUUACCACCUCGCAUUGGCCGUUGUAAUCUGCAGGGAACUCACAUGAGCUUCGGUUGGUAAGAGAGGUGAGAUUGUGAGAUUCCACAUAUAAUUCCCUAUUCUACAUAUAUUGUUGCUUUGCCUUCACUAAUUUUUUACAGCAAGAUGACUGAGCAUCCGG